Molecule: ribosomal RNA, 399 nt
Filed under: uncultured bacterium
Lineage: Bacteria
Description: partial 16S ribosomal RNA
Rfam family: Bacterial small subunit ribosomal RNA
Source: RNAcentral
AAUAUUGCGCAAUGGGGGCAACCCUGACGCAGCGACGCCGCGUGAACGAUGAAGGCCUUCGGGUCGUAAAGUUCUGUCCUCUGGGAAGAAUAAAUUGACGGUACCUGUGGAUGCAGCCCCGGCUAACUACGUCCCAGUAGCCGCGGUAAUACGUAGGGGGCAAGCGUUGUCCGGAAUUAUUGGGCGUAAAGGGUGCGUAGGCGGCCUUUUAAGUCAGAUGUGAAAGACCACAGCUUAACUGUGGGAUUGCAUUUGAAACUGAAGGGCUUGAGUGUCGGAGAGGGUAGUGGAAUUCCCGGAGUAGCGGUGAAAUGCGUAGAUAUCGGGAGGAACACCAGUGGCGAAGGCGACCACCUGGGCUAAUACUGACACUGAGGUGCGAAAGCGUGGGGAGCAAAC